GGGGGGGGGCAAGCGUUGUUCGGAAUUACUGGGGCGUAAAGGGGCGCGCAGGCGGCCUGGCCAGUCCUACGUGAAAUCCCACAGCUCAACUGUGGAAUUGCGUGGGAUACUGCCAGGCUUGAGUCCCGGGAGAGGAGAGUGGAAUUCCCAGUGUAGCGGUGAAAUGCGUAGAUAUUGGGAGGAACACCGGUGGCGAAGGCGGCUCUCUGGACCGGCACUGACGCUGAGGCGCGAAAGCUAGGGGAGCAAACGGGAUUAGAUACCCCGGUAGUCCUAGCCCUAAACGAUGAGCACUUGGUGUGGCGGGUAUCGACCCCUGCCGUGCCGAAGCUAACGCAUUAAGUGCUCCGCCUGGGGAGUACGGUCGCAAAGGCUGA
RNAcentral lists this ribosomal RNA (377 nucleotides) under uncultured organism. RNAcentral's name for it is "partial 16S ribosomal RNA". It matches the Rfam family "Bacterial small subunit ribosomal RNA", at positions 526 to 897 of the family's 1533-position model. The record is from RNAcentral.